AUGAACGCUGGCGGCGUGCCUAAUACAUGCACGUCGAGCGAACAGACGAGGAGCUUGCUCCUCUGACGUUAGCGGCGGACGGGUGAGUAACACGUGGAUAACCUACCUAUAAGACUGGGAUAACUUCGGGAAACCGGAGCUAAUACCGGAUAAUAUAUUGAACCGCAUGGUUCAAUAGUGAAAGACGGUUUUGCUGUCACUUAUAGAUGGAUCCGCGCCGCAUUAGCUAGUUGGUAAGGUAACGGCUUACCAAGGCAACGAUGCGUAGCCGACCUGAGAGGGUGAUCGGCCACACUGGAACUGAGACACGGUCCAGACUCCUACGGGAGGCAGCAGUAGGGAAUCUUCCGCAAUGGGCGAAAGCCUGACGGAGCAACGCCGCGUGAAUGAUGAAGGUCUUCGGAUCGUAAAACUCUGUUAUUAGGGAAGAACAAAUGUGUAAGUAACUAUGCACGUCUUGACGGUACCUAAUCAGAAAGCCACGGCUAACUACGUG
This 496-nucleotide ribosomal RNA is filed under the name uncultured bacterium. Its description in RNAcentral is "partial 16S ribosomal RNA". It matches the Rfam family "Bacterial small subunit ribosomal RNA", at positions 29 to 507 of the family's 1533-position model. The record is from RNAcentral.